CUCUCGCUUACACCGAGACAAUAUCUGUUAAACCCGGAUUACCUUGAG
This 48-nucleotide transfer RNA is filed under the name Xenopus longipes (savannah clawed frog). Its description in RNAcentral is "partial tRNA-Val". The record is from RNAcentral. Lineage: Eukaryota; Metazoa; Chordata; Amphibia; Anura; Pipidae.